AGUGAACGCUGGCGGUAGGCCUAACACAUGCAAGUCGAACGGCAGCACAGUAAGAGCUUGCUCUUACGGGUGGCGAGUGGCGGACGGGUGAGGAAUACAUCGGAAUCUACUUUUUCGUGGGGGAUAACGUAGGGAAACUUACGCUAAUACCGCAUACGACCUACGGGUGAAAGCAGGGGAUCUUCGGACCUUGCGCGAUUGAAUGAGCCGAUGUCGGAUUAGCUAGUUGGCGGGGUAAAGGCCCACCAAGGCGACGAUCCGUAGCUGGUCUGAGAGGAUGAUCAGCCACACGGCAACUGAGAGACGGUCCAGACUCGGACGGAGGCCAGCAGUGGGGAAUAUUGGACAAUGGGCGCAAGCCUGAUCCAGCCAUACCGCGUGGGUGAAGAGGGCCUUCGGAUUUUAAAGCCCUUUUGUUGGGAAAGAAAAGCAGCGGGUUAAUCCCCCGCUGUUCUGACGGUACCCAAAGGAUAAGCACCGGCUAAGUUCGUG
This 492-nucleotide ribosomal RNA is filed under the name uncultured bacterium. Its description in RNAcentral is "partial 16S ribosomal RNA". It matches the Rfam family "Bacterial small subunit ribosomal RNA", at positions 29 to 507 of the family's 1533-position model. The record is from RNAcentral.